GACGAACGCUGGCGGCGUGCUUAACACAUGCAAGUCGAACGGAAAGGCCCUGCUUUUGUGGGGUGCUCGAGUGGCGAACGGGUGAGUAACACGUGAGUAACCUGCCCUUGACUUUGGGAUAACUUCAGGAAACUGGGGCUCAUACCGGAUAGGAGCUCCUGCUGCAUGGUGGGGGUUGGAAAGUUUCGGCGGUUGGGGCUGGACUCGCGGCUUAUCAGCUUGUUGGUGGGGUAGUGGCUUACCAAGGCUUUGACGGGUAGCCGGCCUGAGAGGGUGACCGGCGACAUUGGGACUGAGAGACGGCCCAGACGCCUACGGGAGGCAGCAGUGGGGAAUAUUGCAGAAUGGGCGGAAGCCUGAUGCAGCAACGCCGCGUGCGGGAUGACGGCCUUCGGGUUGUAAACCGCUGUCGCCGGUGACGAAGCGUGAGUGACGGUAAUGGGUAAAGAAGCACCGGCUAACUACGUG
This 468-nucleotide ribosomal RNA is filed under the name uncultured bacterium. RNAcentral describes it as "partial 16S ribosomal RNA". It matches the Rfam family "Bacterial small subunit ribosomal RNA", at positions 28 to 507 of the family's 1533-position model. The record is from RNAcentral.